Long non-coding RNA from Stegostoma tigrinum, 992 nucleotides. RefSeq lists it as uncharacterized. The transcript has 3 exons. The record is from RefSeq and is a predicted model, not a curated record. Lineage: Eukaryota; Metazoa; Chordata; Chondrichthyes; Orectolobiformes; Stegostomatidae.
CAUGCGUACUGAGAGGGAUAUCCGGAAUGAAAUGGUUCUCCAUGAGAGCCACAAGCGAACAUUCAACAACUUGAAAACUGGAUUGAAAAUGAGAGACAGAGCAGCCACUGCAGAAGCUUCCAAAAUCACUCUGCACUUUCUUGAACUGCUGCAAUCCACGUGGUGAUGUAGCUCCCAUGUUGCAAAUUGGAUGCUGUUCAGUUUCUGUCAACGUUCUGAGUCCUCGAAUUUCAACAGGACUGCCACUUCCAUACUAUCUUCAGAGCUUCUCUACCCCACCGUCAGCUCACAGCUGGGUGAGUAAUACUUACAUGACUAUCAGAAGCUAUACAGAUAGUUUCAGAGCCCUAAGUAACUGUUGAUGUUUCGCUGUUAUGGACCUGCAGUUAAACUGUCUGAGAGAUGUUAAUGUGAAAUCAUCUCAUUCAUUUACAUACUUCUAUAAAUUAAAGUCUUUUGUCUUCAUUUGAUUCCUACGCAGAGGCUUUAAUUUAUAGAAGUAAACUCUUAUCUACCGACACAUCGGUAUGCAGACACUGCCCUGAAACUUCCUGCCCAGCUAGGAAUUCAGUGUAAUGCUUUUGUAACUCCUUAUCUUCUCACACAUCGGUAUGCAGACACUGUCUUAAGCUUCCUGACUAAAUUAAAACUAGAAUCAAACUGUUUCAAAUAGGGUUCGGUGGGGAAAUUUUGUAAAGGUGUGAAACCUCUGAAGCAUGUAACUUCUGUCACUGGCAAAGGGGCCAGGGCACUGAUUUGGUUCUAGCCAGACAAACUGGCCACUUGAAAUCUCAAUCUGUCACAGUCAACAACUCGAAAUUGCCUCCUGCCAUUAGCAGCCACUUUACUAGCAAUCGAUACUGUAUCCUGGUCUUUUAUGUUGUUGAUGUAAUAAUUGUUUGGUAUCCUGAUUUUGUCUGUUGUAGUAAUCGUUUUCUGUAUCAUGUCAUUGUAAGUUGUGAAAUCGUUUUAUGUAUCAUGUCUUUUGUAAA